RNAcentral lists this ribosomal RNA (497 nucleotides) under uncultured bacterium. RNAcentral's name for it is "partial 16S ribosomal RNA". It matches the Rfam family "Bacterial small subunit ribosomal RNA", at positions 28 to 507 of the family's 1533-position model. The record is from RNAcentral.
GAUGAACGCUGGCGGCGUGCCUAAUACAUGCAAGUCGAGCGAACGGACGAGAAGCUUGCUUCUCUGAUGUUAGCGGCGGACGGGUGAGUAACACGUGGAUAACCUACCUAUAAGACUGGGAUAACUUCGGGAAACCGUAGCUAAUACCGGAUAAUAUUUUGAACCGCAUGGUUCAAAAGUGAAAGACGGUCUUGCUGUCACUUAUAGAUGGAUCCGCGCUGCAUUAGCUAGUUGGUAAGGUAACGGCUUACCAAGGCGACGAUGCAUAGCCGACCUGAGAGGGGUAUACGCCCACACUGAACCGGAGACCCGUUCCGAACCCCAAGGGGGGGCGCCGUAGGGAAUCUUCCGCAAUGGGCGAAAGCCUGACGGAGCAACGCCGCGUGAGUGAUGAAGGUCUUCGGAUCGUAAAACUCUGUUAUUAGGGAAGAACAUAUGUGUAAGUAACUGUGCACAUCUUGACGGUACCUAAUCAGAAAGCCACGGCUAACUACGUG